Helianthus annuus (common sunflower) is the source of this 158-nucleotide long non-coding RNA. RefSeq lists it as uncharacterized. Lineage: Eukaryota; Viridiplantae; Streptophyta; Magnoliopsida; Asterales; Asteraceae. The record is from RefSeq and is a predicted model, not a curated record. The transcript has 3 exons.
CUUCGUCUUCGUGCCCUGAAACCUUCCUUCAUUUUGUUGAAACUUGAAUCAGUUACCCUAGGUUCAUUAUUUCAUCAUCGGUAUAGUGUAGGAGAUAAUGCAUUUUUAUUCGCCAAUAUUUUUGGUCCCUUGAACAAUCCCAGGUUUAUCUAUGUAUA